This is an RNA transcript of Trichogramma pretiosum, 2115 nucleotides long. It is a transcript of the gene named dnaJ homolog subfamily B member 6-like, with no coding region annotated. NCBI's taxonomy places the organism in Eukaryota, Metazoa, Arthropoda, Insecta, Hymenoptera, Trichogrammatidae. The transcript has 8 exons. The record is from RefSeq and is a predicted model, not a curated record.
CAGCUGCGAGAGCAACGAGGACGAACGCACGAAGUCGCGAAACGAACGCGAAGCGGCCAUUUUGAAGUUUGCCUCCAUCCUUGUCUGGCUCGCUGCAGGGGCGCACGCGGAGCGUGUAUCAUAAUCGUAUUUCGUGUUGCUGUACGCGCUGCGAAUGUGACGGCUCCGAAAGUCCGAAGUAUAAGGGACAGUCUCCGCGCUAAAGCUCCGCAGCAACGGCACCCAGUCCAACAAGACUCUCGGCAGACGGUUCAGCUGGCGCAGUAGUCAGUUCAGUCGCACGAGGAACUCGAUCGGCCGUCGCGCGCGCAGCCUCUGCGUAAAGCCCCUACAGGCGAUUCUUUCUCCGUCUCGUUCUCGCAGCCGUAUAACAGCAGCAACUUUCUGCGCCCAGUAAAUUGAUCGCCGUGCUCGUGUGUCCGUGUGCCCAAUGUGUGUUCAUACUUGCUCGCUCCGCCUGUAGCCUAAUAGGCGCUGCUUCUGCUCUUGCCGUUGCUCACCAGUUGUUCUCUGUGCGCUCUGUACGUGCAGCUCUCUGUGGUCUGCUCAUUCGGAAUAUAAAGUGCGUGUGCUUGUGUGUGUGUACCAAGUGUUGUAGCUUUGGAGAAAUAGCUGGAAAAGUCGCUUGGUUCCUUGCCAUCGAAUCAGCUCGAGUGGCUCGUUGCGUACAUUGACAACGUUGUUGACCUGCCUCACGCAGACACACGACACAAGUUACUCGUGGUUGCUGGCUGUGACUGUUUUGCUCAUACGUGCUUGUGAUUACCGGUGCGUGUGCUCAACGCCGACGCAUAUAGUUUAUAAAUUCAAUUUUUUUACGUUUAAAUAAAAGAAAAACUAAAAAAGACUCAUCAUGGUGGACUACUACAAAAUAUUAGAAGUCAGUCGGACAGCCAAUUCAGUAGAAAUCAAAAAAGCAUACAGAAAGUUGGCUCUUAAAUGGCAUCCCGACAAGAACCCAGAAAAUUUAGAAGAGGCCAACAAACGUUUCAAGGAGAUAUCCGAAGCUUAUGAAGUUCUCAUCGACGACAAAAAGCGGCGAACGUACGACCAGUAUGGCAAAGAUGGUUUGAACAUGCCUGGUGGAAAGAGACGUCACGACGAUGAUUUCAACUUCCACUUCGACUCGUUCGUAUUCAGAGAUCCGGAAGAUGUGUUCCGAGAAUUUUUCGGUGGCAACUCUCCAUUUGAUGAAAUAUUUGCUGAAUUACAUGGACAUCCACGCUCAAAUCGACACAGUCAUCCUAUGAAUUCACUGAGUACAUCGUUCUUCAGUCCUUUCGGAUUUUUCGGAUCGCCAUUCGGAGAUAUUUUCGGCGGGGGUGGCAUGAAUGGAAUGAAUUGUACUUCAUCAUUCAGCACUAUUUCCAGUUUUGGUGGACCUAGUGCUGGAAAUGGCGAAAUGAAACGUACCAGUACAUCGACGAGGUUCAUUAACGGUAAAAAGAUUACUACUAAAAAAGUCUACGAAAAUGGCAAAGAAACUAUUAUGUCUUACGAGAACGACAUUCUGAAGUCCAAAACAGUGAAUGGAGUGCCUCAAGCAAUAACGUUGAAUGAGACACCAACUGUUCCUGCAAGUAUACGUCAUCAACCCUCGAGCAUCGUUAACGAUAAGCCUGCCGAAAGUUCAAGGGUUCUUCAUAAUAAUCAUAGUAAUCCAAGUUACCCCAAGGGUAAUAAACUAAAGACCCAACACCUUCAUCAUCAUCGCAACCAUACGCCGCUUUCGACGCCCGUCAAGCACGAUAAGAGUAAGAGGAAGUAAUGCAAUCAAUGAGCAAAAACAAAAAAAAACUCGAGAGCAGUGUUAUAUGGAGCGUGAGUGACACGGAACUAAGAGCGAUCAUCGUUGUGAAUUAUCGUAGCGGCUUGUGACAAAUUUUGUAUACACUAUUAUCGAUUUCACUUGUUUUUAACCACUUAUGGGCUUACGAUGGAGCAGAGCAGUCAAAGAAUAUUAUUAAGAUUUAUUGGUAACGUUGGAAUUGAAAAAAAAGUGCAAGUGCAAAAAAAGACAUUAGUUCAAAACUGUAUACCUACUUCUUUUUUUUUUAUUUUUGCGAUUAUUAUUUUUUCAAUUUAAUAUCAACUAAAAAUAACGAAAAUUUAUUA